This is a long non-coding RNA of Ipomoea triloba (trilobed morning glory), 1513 nucleotides long. RefSeq lists it as uncharacterized. The transcript is spliced from 7 exons. NCBI's taxonomy places the organism in Eukaryota, Viridiplantae, Streptophyta, Magnoliopsida, Solanales, Convolvulaceae. The record is from RefSeq and is a predicted model, not a curated record.
CAUACGUACAGAUCCCAGAUCUAUCGCCACAUCCACACCACUGCUUCAAACAAACGCAACCACCGCAGCCACACCACCGCAGCCUCCAUCGCCACCGCCUCCGCCUUCCACCGUCGCAGCCACCACCGCCGUAGCAAGUAGAUCUGCCCGCACCAUCCACCACUGCCAUUGCAGUGCGCCUUCGUCCACCUCCGCGCCUCCGCCUCAACCACGGCGACCGCGCCUCCGCCUCUGCCUCCAUCGCCGUCGCCGUCCGCCACCAGCCUACGCCUCCCCCAUUGUCGCCGUCUGUGAUAAGCUUGAAAAAGCUGUGGGGAAGGUACUGGUUGUCUCAGACAUUAAGCGGGAUCUUGGUUACAAAGGAUCUGCUGGGCAUAAAUCAUGGAGAAAUAUCUGCAAUAGGUUGGAAGAGGCCCGUGUAGUGGAGGAGUUUUUGGCUAAAGUGGAUGGUAAAGUAAGUGAGAAGUUUGUGCCGGUACAGGAAAGCUCAUAUGAUCAUAUUACUGUAAAUCAGUUUGUGCCGGCAGAGGAAAGCUCAUAUUACUGUAAAAUAUAGGAAGCAACAACAGCAUCAUAUUGAUAUAGGAAAGCUCCCGGCAUGUUUAAGCCCAUCUGGUUUUGAUUCUAGGGAGCCCUAUGAUCUUCCGUUUGGACCGAUAAUGUUCAAUAAUUCACAGGAGGCUUUGCUUAGAAGAAAGUUAGAGAAGGAAGCUGUGUUGCAGAAAGCCAUCGAUCUUCAUAGCAGUAGCUCAUCACCUGUCAUUCCAGUCUCUUACCAGAGCAACUCGCAGUCACCAAACUAUCAAGUCACAGAAGAAAACAGUAGCCAUGAGGCAAGUUCAGCAGGUCAAGAGAACAAGAGUAGAAGUGAAGAUAGCGGCAAGAAGCAGCGAAGCAACAGCCUUGAACUUCAUAAAAGAGGCCUAGAGCACAUCCUUCUAGGUAAAAUUGUCGUUGCUGCUUCUCCUAUGAAAUCAACUGCUGAAAACCUACCGACCGGAACUGAUGACAGUUUCUCACCAACUCCAGCUUCUACUUCAACCAUAGAAUAUCCCUAAGUUUACUUCACACUUGCUUGUAAUGAAAAAGAAAGUAGCUGAAUAAGUUAGCUGUUUAUCAUUGAAUGGUAGUCUUGCAUGAAACAGAAUAGAACAUUUCUAGUCUUUUAAUUUUGGCUAAAUAAGAUCAGGUUAUUUUCUAUUUAUUAUACACGAAACAAUCCGGGCGAAUGGCAUAUAUUAAUUAAUGUAUUUGUGUGCAUUAUCAUCUCGAUCAGGCUAGCUCUAUAUAGUAGUGCAUAUAUAAUGUUUCUUGAUUUUCUUGAUUUUUUGUUUCUUAUUAGUUAGCUAGCUUGUUCUUGAUUGGUUAUAUAUGAUAAAGCUUUGGAGUUGAGAAGAAGGGCAGUUGUUAUUUAGCAGAGUGAAGAUGGAGGGUGAUAUCUACUGUGAGAUUGAGACCCCAGGGUGAAGUCUAUUAUUAGGAUACACCUUUUUUUACAUCCUUUUUUCUAAAA